CAGGCCUAAUACAUGCAAGUCGAACGAGAUUAAGAGGCUUGCUUCUUAUGAAAGUGGCGCACGGGUGCGUAACGCGUAUGCAACCUACCUUAAUCAGGGGGAUAGCCCGAAGAAAUUCGGAUUAAGACCGCAUAAAAACACAGGAUAGCAUUAUCCAAUGUUCAAAUAUUUAUAGGAUUAAGAUGGGCAUGCGUGUCAUUAGCUAGUUGGCGGGGUAACGGCCCACCAAGGCGACGAUGACUAGGGGAUCUGAGAGGAUGACCCCCCACACUGGUACUGAGACACGGACCAGACUCCUACGGGAGGCAGCAGUAAGGAAUAUUGGUCAAUGGAGGGAACUCUGAACCAGCCAUGCCGCGUGCAGGAAGACAGCCCUCUGGGUCGUAAACUGCUUUUAUUCGGGAAUAAACCUACUUACGUGUAAGUAGCUGAAUGUACCGAAGGAAUAAGGAUCGGCUAACUCCGUGCCAGCAGCCGCGGUAAUACGGAGGAUCCAAGCGUUAUCCGGAUUUAUUGGGUUUAAAGGGUGCGUAGGCGGCUUAUUAAGUCAGGGGUGAAAGACGGUGGCUCAACCAUCGCAGUGCCCUUGAUACUGAUGAGCUUGAAUACACUAGAGGUAGGCGGAAUGUGACAAGUAGCGGUGAAAUGCAUAGAUAUGUCACAGAACACCGAUUGCGAAGGCAGCUUACUAUGGUGUUAUUGACGCUGAGGCACGAAAGCGUGGGGAUCAAACAGGAUUAGAUACCCUGGUAGUCCACGCCCUAAACGAUGAAUACUCGCUGUU
This 784-nucleotide ribosomal RNA is filed under the name Pedobacter sp. Its description in RNAcentral is "bacterial SSU rRNA". It matches the Rfam family "Bacterial small subunit ribosomal RNA", at positions 43 to 824 of the family's 1533-position model. Lineage: Bacteria; Pseudomonadati; Bacteroidota; Sphingobacteriia; Sphingobacteriales; Sphingobacteriaceae. The record is from RNAcentral.